Long non-coding RNA from Daphnia magna, 444 nucleotides. RefSeq lists it as uncharacterized. The transcript is spliced from 3 exons. The record is from RefSeq and is a predicted model, not a curated record. NCBI's taxonomy places the organism in Eukaryota, Metazoa, Arthropoda, Branchiopoda, Diplostraca, Daphniidae.
UACGUUGUCAAAGGGUUUCUGCUUCCGGACUCAAGUCCCCAGGCGUAUGAAAUACUGUAGAGGCGAAUCCCAAGUUUUUCGUCUUCGACUUGGGUGUCGAAAAGAAAGUGCACUUCUUGAAGAAGAGAACUUUGUGGUCUGCAUUUGUACAACUCUCUGUAGUCUUCACACACGGGUGUGGCAAGGAAACGUGAAGUACGUUAGAGGGAUUCAAACCACUUUAUAUCCUAUUGAUACGAUGUCCUUAUCUGGUUUGUUAAGAAAAGAUAUUUCAAUCUGUCGACUGGUGUCGUAAAGGCGGCUGGAGUUAUCCGACUCUGGUUCUCGAGGAAUUUCCAGGUAUCUUUUUCCUUUUAGUAACGUAUGAGUGUAUGAACUGUUGGUUGUUCUUUCUCCCCAAACGAUCGUAUUAUGAUUUUGGAUGAAUUGUCCUUCCUGUUGGGU